Molecule: unclassified non-coding RNA, 1234 nt
Filed under: Hevea brasiliensis (rubber tree)
Lineage: Eukaryota; Viridiplantae; Streptophyta; Magnoliopsida; Malpighiales; Euphorbiaceae
Source: RNAcentral
GGGAAAGAAACCUUUAUAUUAAUCUAUAAUAGUAAUAUUAAUAGAUUUAAGACAUGAACACAAGCUAAUUAAUAAAUGAUCUUUACAUCAAGUACAAUAAUUGCAGACCCACCAUGAUGCACUGCUAGAAGACCAUUUUACCCAUAAUUAAAGUCAAGAUGAAACUCCUCUUGAGUCUUGUGUUGGCAUGCACCCUUAAACGGCUCCAAUUAAUGAAGCUCAUGGGUUUCUCUUGAACUCCACUGCCUCCUCUGAAUUUAAACCAUAUGGUUUGAUUUUGAAAAAAAAAAAAAAAUCCCCAGGAAAGCAAACCAUUUCGGUGCUUGUUUUUGGACAAAAAUCUCUACCCUUUCUCGUCAUGGAUGAGACUAUCACAAGCUAUCACCUAAUUAUUAAAGCACAAUACAAGCAUGGAAAUAGCAAUCUCUUGAUGAGGAUCUCGCUUGUAGUACAAGGGAUUGGGGGAAAAAAAAACUAAUCUCUGAGAAAGACUGACCUUUUUGUUGUAGUUACUGUGGCCCUUUAAUGAUCUCUCUCUGCUUCCAUCGCUGAUGCCGAAUAAAGCGUGACAAGGACAACGUAAAAGAAACCAAGAAAUACAAAGAAACGUUACAGAAGGAAAGAAAGAAAGACGAAGAAGAUGAUGAUUAUGAUGAUGAUGAAACUUUCGGCCAAUAAUAGAGGCAGUUGGCCAAAUUUAGUGGUGUGCUGCGCCUACUACUACAAGGAGACAAAACUAUGGUAUUGACGCUGGUUUUAAUUAAAAAAUACUUGGCGAACGGAAAGGAAUGAAACUCUUCAAUUGUGAAGUGGGUUUGGCCCAGAGGGAACUAAUCUCUUCUCCACGCCAUAUCUUGGAUCGAUUUCCUCAUUGGGUGGUGAAGGCGGAGUUGGCGGUGGUGGCCCAAGAAGUCGAUGUGUGUUCAUUCUUUGAAAAUGAAUGCACAAGGAACGAGUAGUCUUGUGAGGGAAAGAAUCACAAGAAGGGGGUGGACGGUUGAAAUGAUGGCGGUAGAAGCGGUGGUUUCUUGAAGAGGACUCAAAGGAAGAAGUAGGGUUUGGGUGUCUAUCCGCGGAGGUGAAAAAGAAAAGGAGGAGAAACAUCAAGAUUAAAAGGCAAGAAUGACGAGACAUGGUGUGGUUGAAGAAAGAGGAGUUGAUGGAGAGGUCCAGAGAGAGAGCGGUGAAGAGACACAGGAGAAAAGGGAGAGAAGAUGGCGAUAGAAGAAAGAGG